GGUGGGCGUAGUUCAGCUGGUUAGAGCGCCAGAUUGUGGAUCUGGAGGUCGAGGGUUCGAGCCCCUCCUCCCACCC
Molecule: transfer RNA, 76 nt
Filed under: Bacteroidales bacterium
Lineage: Bacteria; Pseudomonadati; Bacteroidota; Bacteroidia; Bacteroidales
Description: tRNA-His
Rfam family: tRNA
About the family: Transfer RNA (tRNA) molecules are approximately 80 nucleotides in length.
Source: RNAcentral